GCGGGCUUCUUCAAGGAGAGGCAACAGGUUUCCACCCUGCCAAGGCGAGUUCGAUUCUCGCAGUCCGCUCCA
This 72-nucleotide transfer RNA is filed under the name Agrobacterium salinitolerans. RNAcentral describes it as "tRNA-Gly". It matches the Rfam family "tRNA". Rfam says of the family: Transfer RNA (tRNA) molecules are approximately 80 nucleotides in length. The record is from RNAcentral. Lineage: Bacteria; Pseudomonadati; Pseudomonadota; Alphaproteobacteria; Hyphomicrobiales; Rhizobiaceae.